UACGAAGGGGCUAGCGUUGCUCGGAAUCACUGGGCGUAAAGCGCACGUAGGCGGACUCUUAAGUCGGUGGUGAAAUCCUGGAGCUCAACUCCAGAACUGCCUUCGAUACUGGGAGUCUCGAGUUCGGGAGAGGUGAGUGGAACUGCGAGUGUAGAGGUGAAAUUCGUAGAUAUUCGCAAGAACACCAAGUGGCGAAGGCGGCUCACUGGCCCGAUACUGACGCUGAGGUGGCGAAA
Molecule: ribosomal RNA, 236 nt
Filed under: uncultured bacterium
Lineage: Bacteria
Description: partial 16S ribosomal RNA
Rfam family: Bacterial small subunit ribosomal RNA
Source: RNAcentral